UACGGGGGGGGUAAGCGUUGUUCGGAAUUACUGGGCGUAAAGGGCUCGUAGGCGGUUGUUUAAGUUUGGUGUGAAAUCUCCUGGCUCAACCGGGAGGGUGCGCCGAAUACUGAAUGACUAGAGUGCGGGAGAGGAAAGUGGAAUUCCUGGUGUAGCGGUGAAAUGCGUAGAUAUCAGGAGGAACACCGGUGGUGUAGACGGCUUUCUGGACCGUAACUGACGCUGAGACACGAAAGCGUGGGUAGCAAACAGG
This 253-nucleotide ribosomal RNA is filed under the name uncultured bacterium. Its description in RNAcentral is "partial 16S ribosomal RNA". It matches the Rfam family "Bacterial small subunit ribosomal RNA", at positions 524 to 776 of the family's 1533-position model. The record is from RNAcentral.